This 468-nucleotide ribosomal RNA is filed under the name uncultured bacterium. RNAcentral describes it as "partial 16S ribosomal RNA". It matches the Rfam family "Bacterial small subunit ribosomal RNA", at positions 28 to 507 of the family's 1533-position model. The record is from RNAcentral.
GACGAACGCUGGCGGCGUGCUUAACACAUGCAAGUCGAACGGAAAGGCCCUGCUUUUGUGGGGUGCUCGAGUGGCGAACGGGUGAGUAACACGUGAGUAACCUGCCCUUGACUUUGGGAUAACUUCAGGAAACUGGGGCUAAUACCGGAUAGGAGCUCCUGCUGCAUGGUGGGGGUUGGAAAGUUUCGGCGGUUGGGGAUGGACUCGCGGCUUAUCAGCUUGUUGGUGGGGUAGUGUCUUAGCAAGGCUUUGCAGGGUAGCAGGCCUGAGAGGGUGACAGGCCACAUCGCGACUGAGAUACGGCCCGGCCUCCUACGGGAGGCAGCAGUGCGGAAUAUUGCACUAUGGGCGGAAGCCUGAUCUAGCACCGCCGCGUGCCGGAUGACGUCCUUCGGGUUGUAAACCGCUUUUGCCUGUCACGAAGCGUGAGUGACGGUAAUGGGUAAAGAAGCACCGGCUAACUACGUG